Molecule: transfer RNA, 87 nt
Filed under: Opitutia bacterium
Lineage: Bacteria; Pseudomonadati; Verrucomicrobiota; Opitutia
Description: tRNA-Leu
Rfam family: tRNA
About the family: Transfer RNA (tRNA) molecules are approximately 80 nucleotides in length. Their secondary structure includes four short double-helical elements and three loops (D, anti-codon, and T loops).
Source: RNAcentral
GGCUGGGUGGCGGAAUUGGCAGACGCUGGGGACUUAAAAUCCCUUGCCAGUAAUGGCGUAUGGGUUCGAGUCCCAUCUAAGCUACCA